RNAcentral lists this ribosomal RNA (253 nucleotides) under uncultured bacterium. Its description in RNAcentral is "partial 16S ribosomal RNA". It matches the Rfam family "Bacterial small subunit ribosomal RNA", at positions 524 to 776 of the family's 1533-position model. The record is from RNAcentral.
UACGAGUGCCCCGAGCGUUAUCCGGAAUCAUUGGGCGUAAAGGGUGUGUAGGUGGCAGUGUUAGUCAUACGUUAAAGCCUCGGGCUUAACCCGAGAUCUGCGUUUGAAACGGCACAGCUAGAGGAUGCGAGAGGUCUGUGGAACUCAUGGAGUAGGGGUGAAAUCCGUUGAUAUCAUGGGGAACACCAAAAGCGAAGGCAGCAGACUGGCGCACUCCUGACACUGAAACACGAAAGCGUGGGUAGCAAACGGG